UACGUAGGGUGCGGGCGUUAAUCGGAGUUACUGGGCGUAAAGCGCGCGCAGGCGGCUUUUUAAGCCAGAUGUGAAAUCCCCGGGCUUAACCUGGGAACUGCAUUUGGAACUGGAAGGCUAGAGUGCGGCAGAGGGGGGUAGAAUUCCACGUGUAGCGGUGAAAUGCGUAGAGAUGUGGAGGAAGACCGAGGGCGAAGGCAGCGCCCUGGGUCGAAACUGACGCUGAUGCGCGAAAGCGUGGGGAGCAAACAGG
Molecule: ribosomal RNA, 253 nt
Filed under: uncultured bacterium
Lineage: Bacteria
Description: partial 16S ribosomal RNA
Rfam family: Bacterial small subunit ribosomal RNA
Source: RNAcentral